Molecule: ribosomal RNA, 406 nt
Filed under: Verrucomicrobiota bacterium
Lineage: Bacteria; Pseudomonadati; Verrucomicrobiota
Description: Verrucomicrobia bacterium partial 16S ribosomal RNA
Rfam family: Bacterial small subunit ribosomal RNA
Source: RNAcentral
UGGGGAAUAUUGGACAAUGGAGGAAACUCUGAUCCAGCAAUUCUGUGUGUGUGAAGAAGGUUUUAGGACUGUAAAACACUUUUAGUAGGGAAGAAAAAAAUGACGGUACCUACAGAAGAAGCAACGGCUAAAUACGUGCCAGCAGCCGCUGUAAUACGUAUGUUGCGAGCGUUAUCCGGAAUUAUUGGGCGUAAAGGGUGCGUAGGUGGUCUUUCAAGUCGGUGGUUAAAGGCUACGGCUCAACCGUAGUUAGCCUCCGAAACUGGAAGACUUGAGUGCAGGAGAGGAAAGUGGAAUUCCCAGUGUAGCGGUGAAAUGCGUAGAUAUUGGGAGGAACACCAGUAGCGAAGGCGGCUUUCUGGACUGCAACUGACACUGAGGCACGAAAGCGUGGGUAGCAAACAGG